ACCGGCCUGUAAUCCAGUCGCACCUUCUCAUUCUCCCAGUAUCUGCAGGUUUAUAAUAUUAUUGUAUUAAUAUACUUUUCAGAAUCGUUCAAUCACAUUUUGAAAAAAAAAAAAUGGACAUAAAGAAGAGACGGUUACCCGAGUGUGUGUUUCAUCCAAUUUUCAUCAUCUCUUUUCUGCAAAGUCGGAAUUUGUAUAUGGUUAUUAAAGAGAAAAAAGCGCGCUUCGUAACAGUUGAAAUAUUAAAUACUAACCGAAAAGUCUUCACGAGCAUGAGCUCCUCUACUCUCUUUCCUAGCUUCAGCUGAAUGCAUGGUGAUACACGCAUUGAUCAAGAGGUUUUCCAACUCUAUUGUUUCUAUCAAGUCGGAUUUACCAUAUUAAGCUUCGAUCCUUCAACUUAACAUCGUGGUAGCUCUCCCAUGCUUUGUCAAUCAGGUUGC
This 443-nucleotide long non-coding RNA is filed under the name Helianthus annuus (common sunflower). RNAcentral describes it as "sRNA HanXRQr2_Chr16g0775281". Lineage: Eukaryota; Viridiplantae; Streptophyta; Magnoliopsida; Asterales; Asteraceae. The record is from RNAcentral.